GGUUUUAUAGUCAAUAAUGAUUUUAAAUUGCAAAUUUAAAGGUGAAUUUUUUUCUUAAGCCU
RNAcentral lists this transfer RNA (62 nucleotides) under Priasilpha obscura. RNAcentral's name for it is "tRNA-Cys". The record is from RNAcentral. Lineage: Eukaryota; Metazoa; Arthropoda; Insecta; Coleoptera; Phloeostichidae.